ACAAGCUUUAGCUUUCAAGGUAACAAAGAGACUACUGUACUUCCACCACCUGAAGGUCCUUGCUCAAAGCAACAAAAGAAAACUGACAGUAAGGAGUUGGAACAUAACCCAGAACCACCGCCAUUCUCCAAAAUCAUAUUGGAACAUGUUUUAUUGAUUUUAAUAUGUUGACUUAACAACAUAAGUAAAAGAAACAUUAUUUGGAUUGUAUCCAACUUUAAAAAUUCAACUGGCAUCUGCUGCAUGACUCUGGCCCUUAUCUUCUGUGCACUCUAAAAGAUAUCCUACACACAAGCUUGUCUUUAAACGAGGUCAAGAGUAGGGAAAAACACCUCUGAAGGAACUCUGCCAUUGGUGGCUUCAACCUGGUCUUUUCUCUUCAGUGUACUCCAGACUCCCAAACGUCUAAUAUCUGAGGCAGUUGUGGCCAUCUGACAAAAUUCUGGGCAAGAAAAUACUGGAGAAGUAAUGUAUGCAACUUCUACGCCAUGCCUUUGACGGAGAAGGAGCAGGCCCUUGCCUAGAUCCCUUUCCCAUCUCUCCACAGGCUAGAAUACAGACAUGACGCUGAUGGCUGGAACUUUUAUGUGAGAAUAUGAAAUGAAAGCCACAUGCUGAUGACGGGCAGAACAAUAAAGCAGUAGAAGCCUGGGUCCCAAUACCCUCAGCCUCCAAACCAGCCCCAGACUAUCUACCCAGGCUUUUACUUGAGGAUGAAAUACAUUUCUACUUCAUUAAAGCCAAUUCGUUUUUUA
Canis lupus familiaris (dog) is the source of this 755-nucleotide long non-coding RNA. RefSeq lists it as uncharacterized. The record is from RefSeq and is a predicted model, not a curated record. The transcript is spliced from 2 exons. Lineage: Eukaryota; Metazoa; Chordata; Mammalia; Carnivora; Canidae.